GACGAACGCUGGCGGCGUGCUUAACACAUGCAAGUCGAGCGGUAAGGCCCUUUCGGGGGUACACGAGCGGCGAACGGGUGAGUAACACGUGGGUGACCUCGCCCUCAGCUCUGGGAUAAGCCUGGGAAACUGGGUCUAAUAACUGGAUAUGACUCCACGGUGCAUGUCGUGGGGUGGAAAGCCUUGUGCGGCUGAGGAUGGGCCCGCGGCCUAUCAGCUUGUUGG
RNAcentral lists this ribosomal RNA (225 nucleotides) under uncultured bacterium. RNAcentral describes it as "partial 16S ribosomal RNA". It matches the Rfam family "Bacterial small subunit ribosomal RNA", at positions 28 to 252 of the family's 1533-position model. The record is from RNAcentral.